This 126-nucleotide transfer RNA is filed under the name Kitasatospora herbaricolor. RNAcentral's name for it is "tRNA-Leu". Lineage: Bacteria; Bacillati; Actinomycetota; Actinomycetes; Kitasatosporales; Streptomycetaceae. The record is from RNAcentral.
CGGGGGUGCGCAAUGGGAGCUUGACUGCACGAGCUUUCGUGUGCGAGAAGGCUGCCGACCUGCGGAGAUUCCCGAUCCCAUCCUCUGGGGGUCAAGGGGUCGCAGGUUCAAAUCCUGUCGUCCCGA